GACGAACGCUGGCGGCGUGCUUAACACAUGCAAGUCGAACGGAAAGGCCCUGCUUUUGUGGGGUGCUCGAGUGGCGAACGGGUGAGUAACACGUGAGUAACCUGCCCUUGACUUUGGGAUAACUUCAGGAAACUGGGGCUAAUACCGGAUAGGAGCUCCUGCUGCAUGGUGGGGGUUGGAACGUUUCGGCGGUUGGGGAUGGACUCGCGGCUUAUCAGCUUGUUGGUGGGGUAGUGGCUUACCAAGGCUUUGACGGGUAGCCGGCCUGUGAGGGUGACCGGCCACAUUGGGACUGAGAGACGGCCCAGACUCCUACGGGAGGCAGCAGUGGGGAAUAUUGCACAAUGGGCGGAAGCCUGAUGCAGCAACGCCGCGUGCGGGAUGACGGCCUGCGGGUUGUAAACCGCUUUCGCCUGUGACGAAGCGUGAGUGACGGUAAUGGGUAAAGAAGCACCGGCUAACUACGUG
RNAcentral lists this ribosomal RNA (468 nucleotides) under uncultured bacterium. RNAcentral describes it as "partial 16S ribosomal RNA". It matches the Rfam family "Bacterial small subunit ribosomal RNA", at positions 28 to 507 of the family's 1533-position model. The record is from RNAcentral.